ACUGGCACUAGAGGCAUUACAUGUGUGACUGCUAUGUCACAUGUGUAUUGGUAGGUGGCAGAGAGGGGACAGGCUUUUUCUAUGCUCAGGGUUCUGAUCUACCAACAUCUGAAUGAUUCCCUGACCUU
Mus pahari (shrew mouse) is the source of this 128-nucleotide small nucleolar RNA. RefSeq annotates it as small nucleolar RNA SNORA17. The transcript has a single exon. The record is from RefSeq and is a predicted model, not a curated record. NCBI's taxonomy places the organism in Eukaryota, Metazoa, Chordata, Mammalia, Rodentia, Muridae.